CAGCAGCCGCGGUAAUACGGAGGGGGCUGGCGUUGUUCGGAAUUACUGGGCGUAAAGCGCGCGUAGGCGGUUACUCAAGUCAGAGGUGAAAGCCCGGGGCUCAACCCCGGAACUGCCUUUGAAACUAGGUGACUAGAAUCUUGGAGAGGUCAGUGGAAUUCCGAGUGUAGAGGUGAAAUUCGUAGAUAUUCGGAAGAACACCAGUGGCGAAGGCGACUGACUGGACAAGUAUUGACGCUGAGGUGCGAAAGCGUGGGGAGCAAACAGGAUUAGAUACCCGAGUAGUCCCUGUCUCUUAUAC
RNAcentral lists this ribosomal RNA (301 nucleotides) under uncultured bacterium. Its description in RNAcentral is "partial 16S ribosomal RNA". It matches the Rfam family "Bacterial small subunit ribosomal RNA", at positions 509 to 807 of the family's 1533-position model. The record is from RNAcentral.